RNAcentral lists this transfer RNA (68 nucleotides) under Marmota monax (woodchuck). Its description in RNAcentral is "tRNA.Ala". Lineage: Eukaryota; Metazoa; Chordata; Mammalia; Rodentia; Sciuridae. The record is from RNAcentral.
GGAAUAUAGCUCAAUGGUAGAGCACUUGGCUAGCAUGUGGGAGGCUCUGGGUUCAAUCUCCAGUACCA